This 1017-nucleotide ribosomal RNA is filed under the name Triticum aestivum (bread wheat). Its description in RNAcentral is "partial small subunit ribosomal RNA". The record is from RNAcentral. Lineage: Eukaryota; Viridiplantae; Streptophyta; Magnoliopsida; Poales; Poaceae.
AUGGCGGGUUCAUCCAUCAAUGUCAUCUCCUUGAGGGUUGUUAAAUCUGGCCCUGAGCACACAUACCCAGUCGAGGUUUAUGGCAGAGUUAUUGCGAGGGAUGAGGUUGACUACAAAUGUGUCGUUCUGUUCGAUCGUGAAAGGAAGGAUGCCCAGUUCAUCAAUUCGGAGAAGGAUAUGUUAGCUCUGACAGGUCCACGCCGAGCAUUGGUUACUGAUGGCUUGAUGUGUUUCGAGUUUGAUUUAAAGGUCAAGGGCAAGGGUGGGCCUGAUUGUGAUGUACAGUUCAGCAAAGGUGUAAUACUCUACCGUCACAACUUCUACAACAAGCGCAUGAUCAGCCAGCUACCUAGUUUCCAGAGUACGGUGAAAUUGGUAUUGCAACAUGUGGCAUCUCCAAUGGCAGCUAGUGUUGAAGUCAGUCUUGUGAGAAAACAACAGCUUGGUGAUCGUGCUGUACACUUCAAUGGUAAAAUAACAGUUGGGACUGCUAGAAAUUAUAGACAGCAUAUGGUUGUUUAUGAUAGUAGUCGUCUGCCUAGUGGGGACUUGGUGACGGAAACUGGCUCUCUUGUGUUGGAUCAUAACCUGUUAGCUGUCUCGCGGCGUAUACGAGACAACACACUCAAGGGAGAUGAACAAGAGACGAUCUAUGUGUGUUUUCUUGGUGCUGGUUCUGAGAUUGAGGAUGAGGAUUAUAUUAGGCCUGAGGAAGAAGAUGAAGAUGAGGAUGACAUUGUGUCUGACGAAGAAGGCCAAGAGGAACCUGAUGAAAUGGAAAGCGCGGGUGCGGAGGAUGAUGGGGACGACCCUACUAGUCUUGUUGCUCUCAAAUACCCUCUGAGUGAGACUCUGUGCGAACACGGCUCCCUCAAGCUGAAAGUGAAGGUUCAUUGGACUGCUAUCAUUGAGGCGCCGCUGCAUGGUGAAUUCUUAACAAGAUUGGGUGUCCUUCUAGAAGGUUAUAAGUUGCCUGAUUAUCGACGGGGUUCGGCCAAUGGUUCUUUCUGUGAGUGA